This 742-nucleotide long non-coding RNA is filed under the name Numida meleagris (helmeted guineafowl). RNAcentral describes it as "lncRNA (ENSNMEG00000018644.1)". The record is from RNAcentral. Lineage: Eukaryota; Metazoa; Chordata; Aves; Galliformes; Numididae.
UUGUUUUGCAUUCCGAUAUUUUAUUUAGUAAAUUAGUUUGUUUCUCCUCAGAUUGUUGCCGCUGUUCUUUGCUCCCAGGGCCAUCUCCCUACCCUUUUCCCCUUUCCCCUUUUCCCGGGAUGUGGGCCCUUGGGUCCCCCGUCCCCUUUGUCACGGAAUCGGGCCUAACGCCCGUAAACCGUUGACAGUGGUAAGGAAUAGGUUGGGGAAAAACAGCCUCUCUUGUUUCUGCAAAACCUCCAUUUCCCAUCAAAAAUGGACAAUUAUUAGAGUUUGCCCAAAUCAUUGAGAGGGGUUUUUUGUGUUGUUGUUGUUUUUUUUUUUUAAAUUCCAGGGAGUUACCAUAAUGAACCCUAGAAAGAAGAACCAUCAAUAGCAAUCAUAAAUCUUUCAACAAAUUUUGGAAUCUGUGAAAAUCUGAUAACAAGCACAAGUCUGACUGUGCAAGUGUCACCCAAAAUGUACAAGCUGUUAGCUAAAAGGAAAGAUGUUCCUCCAAGAGAUAUGCAGCAGUAGUUGGUUCAGUUCCCUGCAGUCCUAUAUGCCCCCUAUUCCCCAAGCUGCAGUAGAAUCUUCCCAGCAGAGAGGAAGAUGUGGUUCAGCAUUUCACAGAACGUUCAAUCCUGCUUCAGGGAAUGGAGUCCAGCACAUAUUUGAAGUGUGGGAAGGAGAUAGGAUGAUAUGGGAUGGUAUUACAGAGUUCAGCUUGAACACUGUCACUUUAAAACUAUAAUAAAAUAAG